CCUUACAUGUGAUUUUCUAGUUUAUUAAAUGUGAAAACUUAUAAUAGAUAUUAAGCAUUCAACUUUUUAUUGACACGUUGUGAAAGUAGAAGAAACAUAGAAGACUUGUGGAUAUGUUUGUGACCAUAAAGCUUUAAUUUAAAAUGCAUUUUUUGGCAUAAUUAUAGAAGUCUUCCGGUAUUGAUUUGAUCCAUAAUACCACCCUAUCAUCAUUUUUUGAGCUAUGUAUCUCCUCCAUGCUACACCUUUGCCUCUCCUUUUUUUCUAUUCUCUAUGGAUGUUAUCACUUUUUUUAUUAUUUCAAUUAAAUAUUUUGUGAUACCUUUAAUUCUCUGGUAUCAUCCUUCUCGGCAACAAAGACAGAGAGUCGUCAAACUGAUUGGAAGAAAUUUUGGCACCUACUAAAAUGAAAUCAAAUUCCUAGACAAAUUACUUAUUUAUAAACCAUGAUUUAUGAUUGAAAUAAUCAUGCAGCCAGAAAAGAAAAAACAACACCUGAUAAUACACCAACCGCUGGAAUGCAUUUAAUAUCUUGCCUGUAAAGAGCAAAUGACGUUUCGAAAUCAAUUUGACUCAUUUAAAUAAAUUCAGUUAAAAAGUCAUAUGGACAACUGCUAGAAAACUCUAUCAAGAAAACAGAGCAACAAAUACUAUACUUAAGGAAAAAUGUCAUUUGAGGAAUUUAAAUGGAUGUUGUAUAAUAAAGUAUACACUCAAAUAACCUAUGCAAUUUGAAAUAUAUUUCAGAAAGUAGAAGUGCCUUUUUAAAAUAUUUCUUGCACCAACUUUAUUAUUAUCCUGAUAAUGGGCUCUUUGUUCCAGUUAUCAGGGUUAGCAAUAGCCUCUUUCUAAUAUUUGAAAUACAAUUACAGCCUAUAUUCCAAUCACAGGUCAUCGUUUUGACACAUAUUCAUAAUAUAUGCACGAUGCAGACAUGAAAGGCCUCUCUACAAUAGGGCAGGAGGUCAAACAAUGGAUUGGUGAUGGAGGUUGUACCACUGUUCUCCGAGGUCUCUGAAACGCAUUAAGAGCAACCCAAUUUGGAGAUUUUGAUUGGGAUAUGAGAACACUCUUCAAUAAAUUCAAGACAUUGUUGUUGGAACUAUUGCAGAAAAUUAAUAUACAGAUAAAAUGGAAACAAUAUAUUAGAAUAUAAUUUUGAUUUGAAGAUAAGGAAUAAGAUAAGAUAUUCUAUCGAUUCAAAGAGUAAAAACACAUCAUCAGAUUCGUCUUAAAAUUUUCUUUUUAAGUAAAGUCUUUUUGAUGUGGAAAAUCAUUCCUUUCGUUCAAGUAUUUGCGUUUUGAUGAACACAUAAUCAAAGAUGAAGAAUAUUAAUAAUUAUUAUACCAGGGAGCUUCGUAUGCCAAUUCAUAUGGCCAUCUACCAGCACACUGCCACAAGAACAAAAUUAAUUACAGAUAACAGAAAGUAGAAAUCCAAAAGCAACAAGUUCAAAUCCAAGAAGAAGUAAACGACUUGAAUCAAAACAAGAACAAUUUACCAAUGUUUCUUAACAAAUGAGGUCCACAUAGUUACGAGCCGCUUCUGAUCCUCAGAAAGACCAAGAAGCUCAAGUUUCUGCAGAGAGGAACUAUCUCCUCCUCAAUGUCACGAGUCCAAAGGGGCACUCCAUUUGAACAAUAGUGAUGGGAUUAACAUGUCCUCUCCUAAUAGUAUACAUCCAAUUAAAACUAACCCAAUUCUAACCAAUUCAUAAUUACCUGGUGCAGAGGGUGAUUGGACCUCGAACUGAUUCGAACAAACCAACCUAGGGUUUCUGAAAUUGCAAUUUUUAAACUUUAAAGAAUAAAGAGCAAAGUUGGGUCAAUAUAACUACAAACACAAACCGACAUUAAUCAAAACUCACUCCAACCUUCGAUUUCUCACCGCAUUCAGAAGUCAACGACCAAAUCCAAUCUCCUUCGACACACAGCGCGAUACGAGCGAUAGAGAACAAAGAGUGACUCUAGUGUGAGUAAGAGAGACCACGACGAAGACGACGCCAAUGCUUCAAGGACUUUUCGAGAAGGUGUAGAAUCGAAACCAGUGGUGGUGAGCGCAACUUUGGAUUGUGUGAGAAGAUAAACCCUAAAUCAGAACAAAUUUGGUAUCGCUGCCGUUUUCUUCUAUGGUGCUUUUCGCGUCUUGGAGGAUCUGUUCCUCAAAAAAGUAGAACGCCUCUCAGACCAUCGGAUUCCUCUCCUUCCUUCGCAUCCCUCGCCACUGCCAUUCCAACCGUCUGCACAUGAGUCCAAGCAAGGAAUCGUUGGAUUUAAUGGUCUCCCAAUCUCUAAGAGAAGCGCGCGAGGGAGGGUGGGGUUCCAAGGGAAAAGAUAGGGUUGGGGAAAAUGAUUAUGUGCGAGAAAAUAGGGUUUGGAGAAAAAU
This 2386-nucleotide small RNA is filed under the name Vigna angularis var. angularis. Its description in RNAcentral is "Non-protein coding transcript". Lineage: Eukaryota; Viridiplantae; Streptophyta; Magnoliopsida; Fabales; Fabaceae. The record is from RNAcentral.